GCUAGCAGAGAAGUACCGAGAGUGCCUAUCUAACAAGGAGAAGAUUCUCAAGGAGAUUGAGGUGAAGAAGGAGUACCUGAGUAGCCUCCAGCCCCGCCUCAACAGCAUCAUGCAGGCUUCCCUUCCGGUGCAGGAGUACCUGUUUAUGCCAUUCGACCAGGCUCACAAGCAGUAUGAGACAGCCAGACACCUGCCGCCUCCCCUCUAUGUCCUCUUUGUUCAGGCCACUGCGUAUGGGCAGGCCUGUGGUGAGUAUGGGGCCUGGGUGAGGACAAGGGGCUAUGGGAGCAGCAGCUGUGGCCGAGUGAAUCAGUUGGAAGCAGUACCUGCUCAGGAAAUUUCUCAGUCCUGCCCGAAGCCCUCAGGUGACAGAAGCUUUCUUCCCUCUGCAUUGCCCAGCAUGGCUGCUCUAACCAGCUGGCCUAAGGCUGGAUUAACCUGAUGGGUAUUUCACAAUGGGUGGCUUUGAGUCAUUCGUGAGCCUGGCUGGACAGCUCUUGGGUGCAGAACCCAGGCAGCCUGUCUG
This 526-nucleotide small RNA is filed under the name Pan troglodytes (chimpanzee). RNAcentral's name for it is "retained intron". Lineage: Eukaryota; Metazoa; Chordata; Mammalia; Primates; Hominidae. The record is from RNAcentral.